UACAGAGGUCCCGAGCGUUGUUCGGAUUCAUUGGGCGUAAAGGGUGCGUAGGUGGGCUAGUAAGUCAGUGGUGAAAUCUCCGGGCUUAACCCGGAAACUGCCAUUGAUACUAUCUGUCUUGAAUACCCUGGAGGUGAGCGGAAUAUGUCAUGUAGCGGUGAAAUGCUUAGAUAUGACAUAGAACACCCAUUGCGAAGGCAGCUCACUACGGGAAUAUUGACACUGAGGCACGAAAGCGUGGGGAUCAAACAGG
Molecule: ribosomal RNA, 253 nt
Filed under: uncultured bacterium
Lineage: Bacteria
Description: partial 16S ribosomal RNA
Rfam family: Bacterial small subunit ribosomal RNA
Source: RNAcentral